CUCCCAAUCUCUCAAAGAGAGUUUAAUAAUGUUCAAGAUGACUUACCUCAACAUGUUCAAAACAGAUCACCCCAGCCUAUAGGGGGAUUGAAUAAGUUGGAUUUGAGAAUCUAAACUCGUCGGAACAAAAUAGAUAAGGCCAUUGAGCAUGACAUGACACUCCUAAUCAAUCAGAUUCCUGUAUUUAGAGCCUGAACAACCUGAGGUAUGUAAUGAGUCCCCUUUUAUCCAUGCUAAGGUCCCUUUCUAUCCGUGCUAGUACUAAUCUUGAUUAUGAUCUUAAUGUCCCUAUCGCCCUAAAAAAAGGGCUAGAGCUUAUACCAAACACCCCAUCUAUAAUGUUUCUUAUGACUCAUUAUCCCUGCCCUAUAGAGCCUUUGUCUUGCCUAUUUCUUUUAUUUCUAUCCCACAGGAUUGGAAUGAAGCAUAUCUUUAUUCAAAAUGGAAGGCUGCUCUGGUUGAGGAGAUGAAAGCUUUGG
This 479-nucleotide unclassified non-coding RNA is filed under the name Hevea brasiliensis (rubber tree). The record is from RNAcentral. Lineage: Eukaryota; Viridiplantae; Streptophyta; Magnoliopsida; Malpighiales; Euphorbiaceae.